This 484-nucleotide ribosomal RNA is filed under the name uncultured bacterium. RNAcentral describes it as "partial 16S ribosomal RNA". It matches the Rfam family "Bacterial small subunit ribosomal RNA", at positions 30 to 507 of the family's 1533-position model. The record is from RNAcentral.
AUUGAACGCUGGCGGCAGGCCUAACACAUGCAAGUCGAGCGGAUGAAGGGAGCUUGCUCCUGGAUUCAGCGGCGGACGGGUGAGUAAUGCCUAGGAAUCUGCCUGGUAGUGGGGGAUAACGUCCGGAAACGGGCGCUAAUACCGCAUACGUCCUGAGGGAGAAAGGGGGGGUUCUUCGGACCUCACGCUAUCAGAUGAGCCUAGGUCGGAUUAGCUAGUUGGUGGGGUAAAGGCCUACCAAGGCGACCAUCCGUAACUGGUCUGAGAGGAUGAUCAGUCACACUGGAACUGAGACACGGUCCAGACUCCUACGGGAGGCAGCAGUGGGGAAUAUUGGACAAUGGGCGAAAGCCUGAUCCAGCCAUGCCGCGUGUGUGAAGAAGGUCUUCGGAUUGUAAAGCACUUUAAGUUGGGAGGAAGGGCAGUAAGUUAAUACCUUGCUGUUUUGACGUUACCAACAGAAUAAGCACCGGCUAACUUCGUG